This 858-nucleotide ribosomal RNA is filed under the name Triticum aestivum (bread wheat). RNAcentral's name for it is "partial small subunit ribosomal RNA". The record is from RNAcentral. Lineage: Eukaryota; Viridiplantae; Streptophyta; Magnoliopsida; Poales; Poaceae.
AUGUUACGGACCUUUUCUGAUGCUAUGGGACAGAAGCAUCCUAUAUCUGUGAUCACGGAUGGGGACCUUGCAAUGCAGAGAGCAAUCAGGAUGGUGUGGCCUGACUCAAACCAUAGGCUCUGUAUAUGGCACAUUCAGCAGAACAUUGUACGCCAUCUGCAUGAUGACGCGGUAAAGGAGGAAUUCCGAUCUUUCAUAUAUGAUACAUCUUCCAUUGAAGAGCAUGAGAGAAAAUGGUUACACUUCUUACAACGGAAUAAAGUAACAAGUGAGGACUCCUGGCUGCAUCAGAUGUAUAAGAUGAGAAAACUGUGGUGUGCUCCAUAUCUUGAGGGCCGUUGUUUUCUAGGAUUGAGCAGCAAUCAGCGGAGUGAGAGUUUAAACUCGGUGCUACAUACGCAUCUUGAGGCUAAGAUGACGUUGUUUCAAAUGCUAGAGCAUUAUGAGCGUUGCCUUGCGUCGCGACGCUUGAACGAGGCUCUCCAAGAUGUCGAGGCCUUACAGUCCGUUCCGUUCACAGAGGAAAAUGCUUCAGUUCUUGAGAAACAUGUCGCGAAAGUUUUCACUCCUGCUAUGUUUAAGUUGGUCUUAUGGAGCAUAGAUGCUGUCAAAAAAUGUGAGAUCAGAGAGGUACUUGAUGCAGCAGAGGUUACCACAUACGUUGUGUCUAAGAAGGAAAGAAUGGAUAAAAAGAUCGAAGUGCGCACGGAGUCAAAGGAAGGUAUGCUUCGCAGUAUCAGUUGUUCUUGCCGCAAAUUGGAAUGCGCAGGCACACCAUGUUCCCACAUAUUUUACAUAUUGGGAAUUUUACAAGAAGAAACACUGCCCAGGUGUUGUGUUCCCACUAGAUGGACAAUG